GGUCAAGCUACCAAGAGCUAACGGCGGAUACCUAGGCACACAGAGGCGAAGAAGGACGUGGCGACCCACGAAAGGCUUCGGGGAGUUGGAAGCAAGCGUAGAUCCGAAGAUAUCCGAAUGGGGCAACCCAAAAAACGAUCAGUUGAAUCCAUAGACUGAAACGAGCCAACCGGGCCAAUUGAAACAUCUUAGUAGCCCGAGGAAGAGAAAGCAAAAGCGAUUCCCUAAGUAGCGGCGAGCGAAAGGGGACCAGCCCAAACCAUCGACCUUGGUUGAUGGGGUAGUGGGACACUCACAAAGAGACUAGAAAACUUAAACGAAGUAGCUGAAAACUACACCAAAGAAGGUGAAAGUCCUGUAGUUGAAAAGCGGACUAGCUCGAGUGUAUCCCGAGUAGCACGGGGCACGUGGAAUCCCGUGUGAAUCAGCGAGGACCAUCUCGUAAGGCUAAAUACUCCUGUGUGACCGAUAGAGAAACAGUACCGCGAGGGAAAGGUGAAAAGAACCCCAGUAAGGGGAGUGAAAUAGAACAUGAAACCGUUAGCUUACAAGCAAUGGGAGGACGAUUAAACGUCUGACCGUGUGCCUGUUGAAGAAUGAGCCGGCGACUUACAGGCUGUGGCAGGUUAAGAGUAAAAGCUCGAAGCCAAAGUGAAAACGAGUCCGAACAGGGCGAUGGUCACAGUUUGUAGACCCGAACCCGGGUGAUCUAACCAUGGGCAGGAUGAAGCGUCCGUAACAGGUCGUGGAGGUCCGAACCGACCAAUGUUGAAAAAUUGGCGGAUGACCUGUGGUUAGGGGUGAAAUGCCAAUCGAACCCGGAGCUAGCUGGUUCUCCCCGAAAUGUGUUGAGGCGCAGCGGUUUUGUACCUGGAUAGGGGGUAAAGCACUGUUUCGCUGCGGGCGGCGAGAGCUGUACCAAAGCGAGGCAAACUCAGAAUACCUAGCCAGCAAAAACCAGUGAGACGGUGGGGGAUAAGCUUCAUCGUCAAGAGGGAAACAGCCCAGACCACCAGCUAAGGUCCCCAAAUGGACACUAAGUGAUUAAGGAGGUGGGAGUGCAUAGACAACCAGGAGGUUUGCCUAGAAGCAGCAAUCCUUGAAAGAGUGCGUAAUAGCUCACUGGUCAAGCGCUCCUGCGCCGAAAAUGAACGGGGCUAAGUGUGCUACCGAAGCUGUGGACUUGCGUUGCAAGUGGUAGGGGAGCGUUCUGUAUAGGGUGAAGCACUAGCGGCAAGCAGGUGUGGACAGUACAGAAGUGAGAAUGUCGGCUUGAGUAGCGAAAAUAUAUGUGAGAAUCAUAUACCCCGAAACCCCAAGGGUUCCUCCGCAAGGCUCGUCCACGGAGGGUUAGUCAGGGCCUAAGGCGAGGGCAACAGCCGUAGUCGAUGGACAACGGGUGAAUAAUCCCGUACUCAAUCUAGUUUGUGCAGGGGGACGGAGAAGGCUAAGUCAGCCGGAAGUUGGUUACCGGUGCAAGCGUUCAAGGCUUUGAGGAACGGAGAAAACGUUCCGAGCUAAGGCGUGAGUCCGACUCCCUACGGGGAGGAAGUGGCUGAAGUCAAGCUUCCUAGAAAAGCCCUAACCACGUUAAACUAGACUGACCUGUACCCGAAACCGACACAGGUGGGGUGGUAGAGAAUACCGAGGGGCGCGAGAUAACUCUCUCUAAGGAACUCGGCAAAAUGACCCCGUAACUUUGGGAGAAGGGGUACCCUCUGUAAGGAGGGUCGCAGUGAAGAGGCCCAGGCGACUGUUUACCAAAAACACAGGUCUCCGCCAAGUCGAAAGACGCAGUAUGGGGGCUGACGCCUGCCCAGUGCCGGAAGGUUAAGGAAGUUGGUCAGCAGGUGACUGCGAAGCUAGCAACCGAAGCCCCGGUGAACGGCGGCCGUAACUAUAACGGUCCUAAGGUAGCGAAAUUCCUUGUCGGGUAAGUUCCGACCCGCACGAAAGGCGUAACGAUCUGGGCGCUGUCUCGGAGAGAGACUCGGCGAAAUAGGAUUGUCUGUGAAGAUACGGACUACCCGCAUUUGGACAGAAAGACCCUAUGAAGCUUUACUGUAGCCUGGAAUUGGCUUCGGGCUUCGCUUGCGCAGGAUAGGUGGGAGGCAUUGAAGUAUUCCUUGUGGGGAGUACAGAGCCAACAGUGAGAUACCACUCUAGCGGAGCUAGAAGUCUAACUUGAACCCGUCAGCCGGGACAAGAACAGUUUCAGGUGGGCAGUUUGACUGGGGCGGUCGCCUCCUAAAAGGUAACGGAGGCGCGCAAAGGUUCCCUCAGGCCCGUUGGAAAUGGGCCCCAAGAGUGCAAAGGCAAAAGGGAGCUUGACUGCGAGAGAGACAUCUCAAGCAGGGUGGAAACACGGCCUUAGUGAUCCGACGGUUCCGAGUGGAAGGGCCGUCGCUCAACGGAUAAAAGUUACUCUAGGGAUAACAGGCUGAUCUCCCCCAAGAGUUCACAUCGACGGGGAGGUUUGGCACCUCGAUGUCGGCUCAUCGCAACCUGGGGCUGAAGUCGGUCCCAAGGGUUGGGCUGUUCGCCCAUUAAAGCGGUACGUGAGCUGGGUUCAGAACGUCGUGAGACAGUUCGGUCCAUAUCCGAUGCGGGCGUAAGAGCAUUGAGAGGAGUCUUCCUUAGUACGAGAGGACCGGGAAGGACACACCGCUGGUGUACCUGUUAUCGUGCCAACGGUAAACGCAGGGUAGCCAAGUGUGGAGCGGAUAACCGCUGAAAGCAUCUAAGUGGGAAGCCCACCUCAAGAUGAGUGCUCUCAUGGAGUUAUCCAGUAAGGUCACGGGCAGAACACCCGUUAAUAGGCGCUCGGUGGAAGUUCAGCAAUGGAUGAAGCCUAGGCGUACUAACAGACCGAGGGCUUGACCAU
Cyanothece sp. is the source of this 2884-nucleotide ribosomal RNA. It matches the Rfam family "Bacterial large subunit ribosomal RNA". The record is from Rfam. Lineage: Bacteria; Bacillati; Cyanobacteriota; Cyanophyceae; Gomontiellales; Cyanothecaceae.